This is a long non-coding RNA of Portunus trituberculatus (swimming crab), 542 nucleotides long. RefSeq lists it as uncharacterized. The record is from RefSeq and is a predicted model, not a curated record. The transcript is spliced from 3 exons. Lineage: Eukaryota; Metazoa; Arthropoda; Malacostraca; Decapoda; Portunidae.
CCGUCCUGAAGGUGAGGAACGAACGUCUUCUACUGUGGUGAUCAAUUCCUGUGCUUCAUUACAUUCCUGGGAAAAUGUUCGUCUCCUGUGAAAGCAAAACACAUACAUAGGGACACAAGCACCUCCUCUUACAUAAACACAGACAAACACGGAAACAGGAAUGUUCGCGGUUGUUAGCGAAGCAGCGACACAACGGCGAAGAAGCAAAACAUCAACUACUCUGGCACCAGCAACGAACGCCCGCAGGUCUACGUGACAACGCCGAGCAUAUGCCGCAGCAAACCCGAGCUUGUGUCUGCAUACCCGACAACUCAGCCGUCAAUGGGGGAGUGGAUCAGGUCGCUGCGCCGCUACCUGCCACACACUCACAAAACUCACACACUGUCGUAAGUCUCAUAAGCGUUAUGAAGACACACCUUUUCGUAUUAUUUUUUUUUUCCAUCGGCACCAAAAAUGUUCAAUUAUCGUGAUAACGAUGUUGAAUAAAAACAAGAACUGUAGCAAUGAAAUGUAUAUAACAACGAAAGAAAAUAUUAAUAAAG